CUGGAGGACAGGUGCUGCAUGGCUGUCGUCAGCUCGUGUCGUGAGAUGUGGGUUAAGUCCGCAACGAGCGCAACCCUUGCCUUUAGUUGCCAGCAGUUCGGCUGGGCACUCUAAAGGGACUGCCGGUGUUAACCGGAGGAAGGUGGGGAUGACGUCAAGUCCUCAUGGCCUUUAUGACCAGGGCUACACACGUACUACAAUGGCCGAUACAAAGGGCAGCGACACUGCGAGGUGAAGCCAAUCCCGUAAAAUCGGUCUCAGUCCGGAUUGGAGUCUGCAACUCGACUCCAUGAAGUUGGAAUCGCUAGUAAUCGUGAAUCAGAAUGUCACGGUGAAUACGUUCCCGGGCCUU
This 352-nucleotide ribosomal RNA is filed under the name uncultured Desulfobulbus sp. RNAcentral describes it as "bacterial SSU rRNA". It matches the Rfam family "Bacterial small subunit ribosomal RNA", at positions 1027 to 1382 of the family's 1533-position model. The record is from RNAcentral. Lineage: Bacteria; Pseudomonadati; Thermodesulfobacteriota; Desulfobulbia; Desulfobulbales; Desulfobulbaceae.